AUUGAACGCUAGCGGGAUGCUUUACACAUGCAAGUCGAACGAGUGGCGGACGGGUGAGUAAUAUAUCGGAAGUUCCCAGUAGCGGGGGAUAACUACUGGAAACGGUAGCUAAUACCGCAUACUAUCGGAUUACCCAUAUGGAAUUAGCUAGUAGGUAAGGUAAUGGCUGACCUAGGAGACGAUCCCUAGCUGAGCUGAGAGGAUGAUCAGCCACACUGGAACUGAGACACGGCCCAGACUCCUACGGAGGCAGCAGUGGGGAAUAUUGCACAAUGGGCGAAAGCCUGACGGAGCCAUGCCGCGUGAAUGAAGAAGGCCCUAGGGUUGUAAAGUACUGUCAGUCGGGAAGCGUUACCUACAGAAAAAGCACCGGCUAACUCCGUGCCAGCAGCCGCGGUAAUUC
This 403-nucleotide ribosomal RNA is filed under the name uncultured bacterium. RNAcentral's name for it is "partial 16S ribosomal RNA". It matches the Rfam family "Bacterial small subunit ribosomal RNA", at positions 30 to 526 of the family's 1533-position model. The record is from RNAcentral.